This 467-nucleotide ribosomal RNA is filed under the name uncultured bacterium. RNAcentral describes it as "partial 16S ribosomal RNA". It matches the Rfam family "Bacterial small subunit ribosomal RNA", at positions 28 to 507 of the family's 1533-position model. The record is from RNAcentral.
GACGAACGCUGGCGGCGUGCUUAACACAUGCAAGUCGAACGGAAAGGCCUCUUUCGGGGGGUACUCGAGUGGCGAACGGGUGAGUAACACGUGAGUAACCUGCCCUUGACUUUGGGAUAACUUCAGGAAACUGGGGCUAAUACCGGAUAGGAGCUCCUGCUGCAUGGUGGGGGUUGGAAAGUUUCGGCGGUUGGGGAUGGACUCGCGGCUUAUCAGCUUGUUGGUGGGGUAGUGGCUUACCAAGGCUUUGACGGGUAGCCGGCCUGAGAGGGUGAACGGCCACAUUGGGACUGAGAUACGGCCCAGACUCCUACGGGAGGCAGCAGUGGGGAAUAUUGCACAAUGGGUGGAAGCCUGAUGCAGCAACGCCGGGUGCGGGAUGACGGCCUUCGGGUUGUAAACCGCUUUCGCUCAUGACGAAGCUUUGUGUGACGGUAGUGGGUAAAGAAGCACCGGCUAACUACGUG